UACGAAGGGAGCUAGCGUUGUUCGGAAUUACUGGGCGUAAAGGGCGCGUAGGCGGUCAGACAAGUCAGGCGUGAAAGCCCCGGGCUCAACCCGGGAAUAGCGCUUGAGACUGUCUUUCUAAGAGUACGGGAGAGGUAAGUGGAAUUCCCAGUGUAGCAGUGAAAUGCGUAGAUAUUGGGAAGAACACCAGUGGCGAAGGCGGCUUACUGGACCGUGACUGACGCUGAGGCGCGAAAGCGUGGGGAGCAAACAGG
Molecule: ribosomal RNA, 254 nt
Filed under: uncultured bacterium
Lineage: Bacteria
Description: partial 16S ribosomal RNA
Rfam family: Bacterial small subunit ribosomal RNA
Source: RNAcentral